GUUGUUUAGUUCACUUUUAUUUAUCAGCUGUUGGGCUUUCUCCCUACCCUGGGCCCCGCCCACAGCUGAGGUUCAUGUUUCGUUUGUUUGUUUUUUUAUAUUAAUAUUUUACAUAUUAAUAUCCAGAACAUUUGUUUUGUUAUUUAGUUCAUUAUCCAAUUAAGUUAGGUUUAUUCUUUCUUUUUUUUCCACGUGGUUGUGUGUGUGCGUGUGUGGCGGGGCGCCACUAACGCCGUCCUCAUCGCGGCUGGCCGCUCUCUCCCUCGCGGCUGGCCGCUCUCUCUCUCGCGGCUGGACGCACGCUCUCUCUCGCGGCUGGACGCCUUCUCUCCCUCUCGCUCUCCCUCGUCGCUCGGCGCCGACGUGGGGGAAUAGCGUGGUCACUCGCGGCUGGAGUGACAGACGGACGGGAGUCAAAAUGAACAUUUAAAGACAAUAAUUGGACUCUUGCGUCCCCGUGGUUGGUGUUAGAGGGUGCACACUCAAACACCUACACGGGUCUCGCUUACACGUACACGCACACACAUACACACUCACCUUCUGUCUCCGCUUCAUGGACUGAACAGAGGCAGUUCCGGGUCACCUGUUAAGUAGCACUAGGUGACGUGCCUCCGCGGGUCAGGUGACCCAGGGAGAAACCAAAGUCCAGGAACAAAUUGAUUUAUAGGAAAAAUAUUGUGUUUGGGUUUAAUAUUGGCUCAGCCAUGUGGAGGGUGUGAGCAACAGUAAUUGCUUUGUAUUAUUUUGUGUAUGUAGAAAUAUUAGUUAUGAUAUAAUAGCUGAUAUCUUGAAAAACCCCUAGAUUGUUUUGAUUGGUUUGUCCGGAGGAGGGGCCAAGGGGUAUUUACAGGAGCUCAGCUCACUUGUUGGUGUGCCUCCUGGUUGAGCAGACGUAUGUUGGUCCUGGUAUUUGAAUUGCGGUUUGUAAAUAGUUUUUCCUCUGUCUUUUUUGUAAAUAAUUUUUGUAAAUAUUUUUUGUACAUAAGAGUUUUCACCUGUGGGUAUUUUUUUGGAGAUGGUGUAAAUAAAAGGAAAUCACCGUACUCGGUUCUCGACUGUGCCAUCAUCUUUCCCUCCACAACCGAAAAAGAACUUAAAGAAACUGAACCCGCGACAUUU
Xyrichtys novacula (pearly razorfish) is the source of this 1119-nucleotide non-coding RNA. The record is from the annotation of a GenBank genome assembly. Lineage: Eukaryota; Metazoa; Chordata; Actinopteri; Labriformes; Labridae.